UACGUAGGGUGCAAGCGUUAAUCGGAAUUACUGGGCGUAAAGGGUGCGUAGGCGGUUUGGUAAGUCUGAUGUGAAAUCUAUGGGCUCAACUCAUAGUCUGCAUCGGAAACUGCCGGGCUUGAGUGUGGGAGAGGUGAGUGGAAUUCCUGGUGUAGCGGUGAAAUUCGUAGAUAUUCGGAAGAACACCAGUGGCGAAGGCGGCUCACUGGACGACUGUUGACGCUGAGGUGCGAAAGCGUGGGGAGCAAACAGG
RNAcentral lists this ribosomal RNA (253 nucleotides) under uncultured prokaryote. RNAcentral describes it as "partial 16S ribosomal RNA". It matches the Rfam family "Bacterial small subunit ribosomal RNA", at positions 524 to 776 of the family's 1533-position model. The record is from RNAcentral.